AGCUCCAAUAGCGUAUAUUAAAGUUGUUGCAGUUAAAAAGCUCGUAGUUGAAUUUUUGGGGCGGGCGCAUGGAGCGGGCUCACGCUCGCUGCUGUGCGGCCGCCUCACACCUUCUGGCUAGGCUGCAUGCAAUUUAUUUUGUGUGUAGUUGAACCAGGACUUUUACUUUGAAAAAAUUAGAGUGUUCAAAGCAGGCUUACGCUUGAAUACAUUAGCAUGGAAUAAUAGAAUAGGACUUUGGUUCUAUUUUGUUGGUUUCUAGGACCGAGGUAAUGAUUAAUAGGGACAGUUGGGGGCAUUAGUAUUUAAUUGUCAGAGGUGAAAUUCUUGGAUUUAUGAAAGACUAACUUCUGCGAAAGCAUUUGCCAAGGAUGUUUUCA
RNAcentral lists this ribosomal RNA (380 nucleotides) under uncultured eukaryote. RNAcentral describes it as "SSU rRNA". It matches the Rfam family "Eukaryotic small subunit ribosomal RNA", at positions 587 to 972 of the family's 1831-position model. The record is from RNAcentral.